This 274-nucleotide ribosomal RNA is filed under the name uncultured bacterium. RNAcentral describes it as "partial 16S ribosomal RNA". It matches the Rfam family "Bacterial small subunit ribosomal RNA", at positions 523 to 796 of the family's 1533-position model. The record is from RNAcentral.
AGACGAACCGUCCAAACGUUAUUCGGAAUCACUGGGCUUAAAGGGUGCGUAGGCGGCACGGCAAGUUGGGUGUGAUAGCCCUCGGCUCAACCGAGGAAUUGCGCCCAAAACUGCCGCGCUCGAGGGAGACAGAGGUGAGCGGAACUUAGGGUGGAGCGGUGGAAUGCGUUGAUAUCCUAAGGAACACCGGUGGCGAAAGCGGCUCACUGGGUCUCUUCUGACGCUGAGGCACGAAAGCUAGGGGAGCGAACGGGAUUAGAAACCCCAGUAGUCC